UAUUAAUGACGCCGUUGACUUUUUCUCACAUGUUUGACUAUUCAUCUUAUUUAAAAAAUUUACGUAAUUAUAAUUUAUUUUGUUAUGAGUUGUUUUAUCACUCAUAAUAUUUUAAGUGUGAUUUAUAUCUUAUAUAUUUGCAUAAAAUUUUUAAAUAAAACGAAUGGUCAAACAUGUGAGAAAAAGUUAAUGGUGUCAUCUAUU
Molecule: microRNA precursor, 204 nt
Filed under: Oryza nivara
Lineage: Eukaryota; Viridiplantae; Streptophyta; Magnoliopsida; Poales; Poaceae
Description: MIR812 microRNA precursor family
Rfam family: MIR812 microRNA precursor family
Source: Rfam by way of RNAcentral